This is a non-coding RNA of Odocoileus virginianus texanus, 490 nucleotides long. NCBI's taxonomy places the organism in Eukaryota, Metazoa, Chordata, Mammalia, Artiodactyla, Cervidae. The record is from RefSeq and is a predicted model, not a curated record.
UGAGCUGGGGGACCGGGAACAGGAUGAAGGCUAUGUCCUGCAGAGACCCAGACCCCUCCCACGGCCGCCUGCUGGCGGGGCCCAGGCCUUGAAGCAACAGCGAACCUCUCCCCACCCUGCCUCCAAGACCUAACGGCAGCACCUGUAGGUUCCUUGGCUUGCUGUCCACGGAGGCCUCAGCAACUGGAGUGUGUGGACACAGGCGCUAAGAGUUCUGCAAGUCAGAAGUUCACACCAGUGUCAGUGGGUUGUGACUGAAAUGUCAGCCGGGCUGCCUUUCUGGUGUUAGACUGUCAGUUUCGGAUCCGAGGAUGGCGAUGGCAAAGCUUACCGGAGUUCCUUGUCAAAUUAAAGCUGUCACAGAAUAAAUCCCGCUGCCUGCUGUGAGGCCCCCGCCCCGCGCUCUGCAAACUUCACUGAGCGAACUGGGUAAUCAGUGUUUGGAUAUGCAGAUCCUUGAUUUAAAAGGCGGGGUGACCCUCCCAAGAAC